GUCCUAGCCCUAAACGAUGUUCAUUAGAUGUGGGAGGUAUCGACCCCUUCCGCGUCGGCGCUAACGCAUUAAAUGAACCGCCUGGGGAGUACGGCCGCAAGGUUGAAACUCAAAGGAAUUGACGGGGGCCCGCACAAGCGGUGGAGCAUGUGGUUUAAUUCGACGCAACGCGAAGAACCUUACCUGGGCUUGAACUACUCGUGGUAAGCCGCUAGAAAUAGUGGCUGACCCGCAAGGGGAGCGAGCAGAGGUGCUGCAUGGUUGUCGU
RNAcentral lists this ribosomal RNA (268 nucleotides) under uncultured bacterium. Its description in RNAcentral is "partial 16S ribosomal RNA". It matches the Rfam family "Bacterial small subunit ribosomal RNA", at positions 793 to 1055 of the family's 1533-position model. The record is from RNAcentral.